RNAcentral lists this ribosomal RNA (425 nucleotides) under uncultured bacterium. RNAcentral describes it as "bacterial SSU rRNA". It matches the Rfam family "Bacterial small subunit ribosomal RNA", at positions 354 to 796 of the family's 1533-position model. The record is from RNAcentral.
GUGGGGAAUAUUGGACAAUGGGCGAAAGCCUGAUCCAGCCAUGCCGCGUGAGUGAUGAAGGCCUUAGGGUUGUAAAGCUCUUUCAGUAGGGAAGAUAAUGACGGUACCUACAGAAGAAGCCCCGGCUAACUUCGUGCCAGCAGCCGCGGUAAUACGAAGGGGGCUAGCGUUGUUCGGAAUUACUGGGCGUAAAGCGCACGUAGGCGGGUAUUUAAGUCAGGGGUGAAAUCCCGGAGCUCAACUCCGGAACUGCCUUUGAUACUGGGUACCUAGAGUAUGGAAGAGGUAAGUGGAAUUCCGAGUGUAGAGGUGAAAUUCGUAGAUAUUCGGAGGAACACCAGUGGCGAAGGCGGCUUACUGGUCCAUUACUGACGCUGAGGUGCGAAAGCGUGGGGAGCAAACAGGAUUAGAUACCCUUGUAGUCC